RNAcentral lists this transfer RNA (62 nucleotides) under Leptoglossus membranaceus. RNAcentral describes it as "tRNA-His". The record is from RNAcentral. Lineage: Eukaryota; Metazoa; Arthropoda; Insecta; Hemiptera; Coreidae.
AUUCAGGUAGUUUAAUGAGAAUAAUAAUUUGUGGUGUUAUAGGUGUAUUUUUACUCUGGAUC